This is a long non-coding RNA of Macrosteles quadrilineatus (aster leafhopper), 706 nucleotides long. RefSeq lists it as uncharacterized. The transcript is spliced from 3 exons. NCBI's taxonomy places the organism in Eukaryota, Metazoa, Arthropoda, Insecta, Hemiptera, Cicadellidae. The record is from RefSeq and is a predicted model, not a curated record.
CUGCGGGUGUCAGUAUAAACUGGCUGUAGAACGACAAAGUUACUGAAGUGGCUCAUUCAACUAUGUCUAAAAUGAAUUAAAAAUGGCUAGCGGACAUGCAUGUUUGGUUACAUUAAGUCAAAGCAUUAUCUUGAUCAAUUUUAAGACUAAGUUAACUCACCUUUCACCUCUUUGAGACAAAUGAUAUAUGUUAACCCGAUGAACUUGACCACCAUUUUACCUAAAAUUUAUAGCCUAUGCCUCGGCAAAAAAAAUCGAUAACUUAUGUUUAACUUACACUAAGUUAUUAUUGUCUUGUUACAGAUUCCUUGAAGGUGGCUCAACAAAAUGCAAGGCAUCAAAAGUAACAUCUGAUCAGUACGGUUCAAGAAGAAACGAGUGUUGAAUUCUGAUCUUUGUUUUAAAUCAAGAUUACACCUUAUUUGACUCAUGCAUCUUCGGCUAAAGCGACAGACCCUGAGUUAGAGGCAGUUAAUCAAAGACUGGCUCGGACAAGCCAAAUCAAGAGGUCUGAGCCAAAUACAAGGAACAAAUGGGACAAUAUUCCUGGUUCUGGAGCCAAGCAACACCCAACACUUGGAAACAAAGACCAAGGAUAGUUAUUUUUAAUUUAACAAUUUAUUCUUUUACUUUACAAAAUUAACACCUAAAUUUUAAAAGCUAGCUUUGGAAAAUAAAUAUGUGUGUUUUAAAAAUAAAACUAUAU